GUGGGGAAUAUUGGACAAUGGGCGCAAGCCUGAUCCAGCCAUGCCGCGUGAGUGAUGAAGGCCUUAGGGUUGUAAAGCUCUUUCAGUAGGGAAGAUAAUGACGGUACCUACAGAAGAAGCCCCGGCUAACUUCGUGCCAGCAGCCGCGGUAAUACGAAGGGGGCUAGCGUUGUUCGGAUUUACUGGGCGUAAAGCGCACGUAGGCGGAUUGGUCAGUUAGAGGUGAAAUCCCGAAGCUCAACUUCGGAACUGCCUUUAAUACUGCCAGUCUCGAGUCCGGAAGAGGUGAGUGGAACUCCUAGUGUAGAGGUGGAAUUCGUAGAUAUUAGGAAGAACACCAGUGGCGAAGGCGGCUCACUGGUCCGGUACUGACGCUGAGGUGCGAAAGCGUGGGGAGCAAACAGGAUUAGAAACCCUUGUAGUCC
Molecule: ribosomal RNA, 425 nt
Filed under: uncultured bacterium
Lineage: Bacteria
Description: bacterial SSU rRNA
Rfam family: Bacterial small subunit ribosomal RNA
Source: RNAcentral